Molecule: ribosomal RNA, 292 nt
Filed under: uncultured bacterium
Lineage: Bacteria
Description: partial 16S ribosomal RNA
Rfam family: Bacterial small subunit ribosomal RNA
Source: RNAcentral
GUGCCAGCCGCCGCGGUAAUACAGAGGUGGCAAGCGUUAAUCGGAAUUACUGGGCGUAAAGCGUGCGCAGGCUGUUGUGCAAGACGGAUGUGAAAUCCCCGGGCUUAACCUGGGAAUGGCAUUUGUGACUGCACGGCUAGAGUGUGUCAGAGGGGGGUAGAAUUCCACGUGUAGCAGUGAAAUGCGUAGAUAUGUGGAGGAAUACCGAUGGCGAAGGCAGGUCUCUGGGCUGACACUGACGCUCAUGCACGAAAGCGUGGGGAGCAAACAGGAUUAGAUACCCCUGUAGUCC